This 16522-nucleotide long non-coding RNA is filed under the name Capsicum annuum. Its description in RNAcentral is "long non-coding RNA (CANN_LNC006091)". Lineage: Eukaryota; Viridiplantae; Streptophyta; Magnoliopsida; Solanales; Solanaceae. The record is from RNAcentral.
AGGAUAAAGAAGUGGUCAUUCCAACUCACAAUGUAAACACAGGAGUCGCCAUGACGAGGAGUUUCUUGAGUGGACUUAGAAAUCUCAUCCCAUAUGUUGUCAAAAGACAUGGAACCAUGAAGGAAGUGUAAUCCUUCCUCUUCUUCGAUUCCUUCAGGAUGAAAGAACCCAAUGAAUGAUUUUUUUGAGAUGACUGAGAGUGGACGCACUUUAGCCUCGAGAACUGUCUCGAGGUCAAAAUGCUUAUCUGGGAAACAUUCCCUAUAGGUCUUGUUUUCACAAGAUCCGUCCACUGCAUCGAGCCUUCACAGAUAAGAGAAUUAAGUUGGUACUUGAUAGACAUAUCUUCAGGAUUUCAGUGGAACCAAUCAGCUAUGACAGCAACCAAGGUUGUACAAGCGCUUUAAACAGCAGCUCAUUCAUUUCAUUGAUCAAUUGAAGCAAAGAGGAUCUGAGUCUGCAGCUUUAUUUGUCCAUCACGGCUUAUUAUUUCUUUCUGCUCCCAACUACCCACAGCGAAACUUUCAUCUCCAAACUCAGAGACUGAAAUCGGAGAAGUUUCCUCGGAUUUGUGCCCUGCAUGAACUACACACAUUAGUAAGAGGACUAGUUAUGACAUAUAUCUUCAAUCAUGAACAAGAAAACCUCAGCAGUUAGAUACUUGAUACAACUGUACAAGUAGACUAAGCUACUAAAGAAAGCUACCAAACUUUGUAAUCUUCAAUUCAGCAAGCACAUUGGUGUACAAGUUAUUGCACGUUGAUCAGACCAUGACAUGAAGAUAAAAAAUGACUCGUCAAACAUGACAAAGAAAGCAAGAAAAAAGGAGACGUACUUUAGAAGAAGACUCUUUAGAUGAGCAAAGCUGUCGGCGAUCAAAGUCUAUAUCGUCUGCACCAUCCUCUCCAUAAUGUUUCUUCAACAAUGGCUCCCUCUUGGUUUUAGGAUAUUUGAAACUCAACUUCCUCUUCCUCCAGGAAAGAAGACUACGUUUUGAACUCUGCCCUGCAGAUUGAUUUACUGCAGUUUUAUCCUCAGGGUACUUGUGCUUUGUGUCUGAAAUAUGAUGGCUGUAGUGGACUAAAUCCUCGUCACUGCUGCUGCCGCUUGUAUUUGAACAAAAUGAUCCACCAGCAUGGUUUGCAUAGACGGGUGCUUCAUAACUGAAUGACUUCUAAACAAUUGUAUCCUCAUUUCCUUCCUCAGAUUCUCCUACCGAAUCCUCAUCAAGUGAAUCUGUAUACAUAGGAUAAACAUAAUCGGGAUCCUCACUUCUGACUGAGUUCCUUUCAUCACUACUGCUCCCUUCCUCUGCAUGAUAUGCCUUUUUGUGUCGCCUAAAAGAUAAUGCUUUCCAAAAUUUACCCUUUCGCAGACCCGCUUUUAAAGAACCAUCUCCAUUUCUGUCUGUCAACAAAGCCUUUCCUGGGUUCGGAGAUACUGGAGCAGACAUGAUAAACUUCGGAAAUAUCUCUGAAGCUUUGUGAGCGUUCCUCAAUUUCACAAGGUUGAGCACUAGCUGUCAACAAAUAUAUGAACAUAUCUUUAGGAAACAGUCGCAUUUGACAAUAUAUUCACAUAGCUACAGGAAUACAAGAACACAAGCAAAAAGCAUGUGUUUUAGUUUCUCUUACACAGAGGGAAAGGCAACUCUUGAAGCUGCCAAUAGAGACUUCCAAAGGAAUGAAAAUUUCAAUGCCCUCUUGUUUAUCUCCAGCUACUGAAGCAAAGUCUGCAAGAUUCAAUGUCGCAGAAGAAAGUACGGGUACCUUCUGAUUUGGUCCUUUGCUUAUACCCUGAUUCAUUAGAAGUAUGAAUAAAUACAAAGAAGGGAGUAAAUGAACAAUGAAAUCAAACACAAAGACAACGUGUUAAAUAGAGGAAUUAGUGUCGAUGAAAAGCUAAAACCAAAACUAAAUAAUUAGAAGCACGAAAUAAUACACCCGUGGAUUGGAAAACAAACGAUUAUCAUGAACGAUAGGUUCAAAGCAGUCAAAGGAACAUGCAGAUAAGGCCAAUGUUGUGCCUAUGGAAGAAGAACAACUUGCUUCAGUCUCAAACAAGUUGAGGUAUAAGAAUUUACUAUUCCAUCUAAGCUCAACACAUGUCAUCAUCANNNNNNNNNNNNNNNNNNNNNNNNNNNNNNNNNNNNNNNNNNNNNNNNNNNNNNNNNNNNNNNNNNNNNNNNNNNNNNNNNNNNNNNNNNNNNNNNNNNNNNNNNNNNNNNNNNNNNNNNNNNNNNNNNNNNNNNNNNNNNNNNNNNNNNNNNNNNNNNNNNNNNNNNNNNNNNNNNNNNNNNNNNNNNNNNNNNNNNNNNNNNNNNNNNNNNNNNNNNNNNNNNNNNNNNNNNNNNNNNNNNNNNNNNNNNNNNNNNNNNNNNNNNNNNNNNNNNNNNNNNNNNNNNNNNNNNNNNNNNNNNNNNNNNNNNNNNNNNNNNNNNNNNNNNACGUUGAACCUAUGAAAGAAGUAGUCAUUAAAAAGUUCAAACCAUUUAUCAUUAACAACUCCUCCUAUUGUUUCUUCCCUUAAAAUCCAAUUGUUGGAUGCACACCAAAACAACUUUGGGAAGGAAUAAUCCUCAAGGUGCCUAAUCAUUUGCCACCAUUUUUAUUUAAUAAUAGACUAUGGCCAUAAUGCUUCUUUUUUCCUUAUCCAGAAAGCACAACUGAAUAUGUCUAAGAGAAAAAUAUGAAUGAAUACAGUAGGUCUCACCAUCCACCAUAUAACAUCAAAAUAAAUGAACCCCACAAGCUCAGAAAGUGGACCCAUUGAAAUGCAAUCAUGACAUUCCAGAAGGCUUAAAAAGCUUCUGACUCCCAGUGCAUGUCAGCAACAGUUUCUUAGACAUCAAUAUAACAAAGUUAAAACUCAGUUUACGCCAGUAGCAUGUCAAAAAAUUAUACUGUGUAUAUAUAUUAGACACUUUAGGCGAAAUUCUUGGCUUUGCCAUUGUUAAACUCACUAAGCUACUAGUACUCUAGGAGUAAUAAAACUCAGUAAAAACCACCAUAUUGAUGAUGAAUUUUACUAAGCUUCUCUUGUUUAACAUGUCCUCUGGAGAGGCUCAUACAAAUGAUGCUGCAAUAUAUUGAAUCACCAUGAUCAAAUAAUCAAAACUAAGCAUCAACCUAACCAAUAAAAGAAAAAAAUAAGUAUCCUAAUUUGCGGAAAUUCAAGAAAUUUAUCAUCCCAAGAAGUUAUAUAACAUAACCAGGAUUCAUAAAACAAUACAAAUAGCACCCUAUUUCAAGACAACAAAGGUACAAGCACUAGAUAUUCAUAUAACGUACAUUUCUCAAUAACAGUCAGACCUCACUAUAUCAGAGACCUUCAACAACAACAUUUCACUAUAACGGGCAAGUUUUCUGUGGAACCGAUUUUUCAUGUUGUGUUAUAUUAUAUGUUUUCUAUAACAACAUUGCACUAUAGCAAUCAAAAAAAUCUGAUUUUUCAAAGUUAGAGAGAGUGUUUCCGAUGGCCGAAAAAAACAGUUCAAAACAGUCAACAACUAGAAACAAAAACAACAAAUAUUAUAAAAACAAAAACUAUAACAAAAUAAUAAGAUAAUUGAGAUACAAAAAAUAUUGUAUAGUAACAGAAAUCGAAGGACAAAAAACUACAGGAGCAAUACUACGACGAAUAAUAAAAUAAAAAAUCAAGAAACUCACUGAAAUACCCUUUGAUGAUCCCUUCCACUUAAUUUCAACUCUUAAUCUAUCAAAAUCUUGGACCCCCAUUUUCUCAUUUAACAAAAAGUUGAAACCUUUAAGGCAAUUCACAGUAAUCUUAGCCUCAUAUUUCUUUGAUGAUAAUAAGGGUGAGCAUGACAUCUACUUCAUCAUCUUCACAACCUUAUUAUAUAUAUAUAAACUUUUUCAGCCACCCAACAGUGUCGCCUAGCGGUCAAUGAAAUGAGUCACAACUAUGACGUCACAGGUUCAAAUUCCAAUAAAGACAAGGCUCGAACACUACGAUUAUAAAAUAUAUAUAUAUAUGUAUAUUUUUUUCACCGACACAAAACAAGAAAAUAUCAAGAAAGAUCACUUUUUGUCUCAAAAAGACUUAAGGACUAGGAGUGUGCUUGUAGACUCCGGGUCGUUUGGUACAUGAUGAAUAAACAGUAGUUACUAUAAAUAGGGAAAUAAAAUAAUUUUGAGAUAUAGUGAAUCCCAAGCUUUAUGGUGAGAAAAUGAUUAAUUUCCUUAUAUGACGUAUCAUAACAACUCCUUUAUAUCUUAUACUAUUUCGAUUUACUUUUAUUUUUCACGCUUGAUAUCGUUUUUUUUUUUUACUUUUUACAUGAGGUAUAAGAGGUCGAAUAUAAUGGGUAUGAGGAAAGACGGGGGAAGCUAACUAAUAGUGAGGGGGUUCAUCCAAACUCCCUUCCGCAGAAUAUUAUACUACUAUUUAUGCAAGCUUAAAAUAAUUUUUCAUGUAUAUAUAGCAGACGUUGAACCCCCUUCGACUAGUUCUUUCGUUCAUAUUUUUUGAUUUUGAACCCCCUUAGUUAAGAUUGAGGAAAGGUUGAUAUAGGUCGGUGAAAUAUUGAAGAGAGAUGAUUAGAUAGGACAUAGUGUAAUUUUUUACUUUACGAGAGUUAAUUUAACUAAUAUUCGGUUUAAUUUGAAUUUAUUUAAAAUUCAAAUGUUUGAUAACUAUAAGAAAGAAUACUACUUCUUCGGAUUCAAUUUAUUAUCUGGUUUUGAUUUGACAUUGAGUUUAAAAAAAUAAAGAAUAUUUUUGAAUUUUACAAUUAAAUUAUGUCUUGUACUUGUAUGGUUAACUUUUAUUUGUCACGUUCGACUUUGUUUAUUUUUACUUUUCAAGAAAGCUAUGAGAGGUUGGAUAUAAUGAACACGAGCAGAGGUUGAUGUAGGUCAAUGAAGUAUUGGAGAACAUAGAUUAGAAAAGAUAUAGUAUAACAAAAUUUAUUUUAAAAAAUUCAAAUGUUUAAAAACUAUAGAGAAAAUCUACUUUUAUUGUUUUAAUUUGUUUUUUUUUUAAUUUUGACUUGACAUGAAAUUUAAGAAAAACGAAGAAUAUUUUAAUUCUUGUGGCCGGAGUCCUACACUAAAUAUAUGUAGAAUAUAUCAACAUAUCAUUUAAUCUUGUUGUGUUAAACAUAUCGUGUGAAAAGUUAAAGCAUUAUCAAAAAAUAAAGCAUAUAUUUUAAACAUAUAAAAAGAAACGUACGGCAAAUAGAUUAAAACAGAGGGAGUAGAAUAAGUUGUAAUCCUUUUUGUAUAAAUACAAUUAAAAAAUAUAUUUUAAAAUAUUGAUCAACAUCAAUGCAAUUUAAUUCUCAAGGAAUAAAAUAUGACAAGUAAAUCAAACGAAUAGAAUGAUAAUUUUAUACAUAGAUAUAUCUAUAAUAUAUUAAAAGUGUGAAGACCUUUAAAAAAGUGAUUUGAAUUUUUUGCCCUUCGUUAAAAGACUCUUCUUUAGAUAAAACUGUAUUUUCACUAUUUUUUAAAUUUAUUAUUUAAUUAUUUCUUAUUAUAUUAACUAGACUUCCUAAAAUAUAUGGGACUCCUAAAAUAUAUGGUAGGAGUAUUAAUUAAUAUUUUUCUUUCUACUGUUCAAGUAGAAAAAUACACCUAAAAUAUGACUACUUUAUUAUUUAAUUAUUUUUUAUUAUAUUAACUAGACUUCUAAAAUAUAUGGUAGGAGAAUUAAUUAAUAUUUUCCUUUCUACUCGAUUUUCGUAGGAGAAUUAAUUAAUAAUUUUCUUUCUAUUGUUUGAUUAGAAAAAUACUCAUAAAAUAGGACUCUAUUAAGAAAAUACUCUAUAAAUAUUAAUUAUUUUAUUAUUUUACUUUAAUUUACAGAUGUUAGAUAAAUGUGGGUCGGCUUUGAAUUUUUUUUACAUAAAUGUUAGGUUAAUUGUAUUAUCGUAAUAUCUAUAUUAAUUUGUUAUUUUAUGAUAGUUUACAGUUUGUAGAUGAAUCUCGAUUGGUUUUUAGAAAUUUUUAUGUGUAAAAUUUAAGUUUAAUUGUAUUAUUUUUAUAUCACUUUUAUCGUAUUAUUUUGUUGCAAUUUAUAGGUGAUAGAUAAAUGUUGGUCCGCUUUGAGAAUUUUUUUAUGUAAAAGUUAGGUUUAGUUGUAUUAUUUUGAUAUCUCUAUUAUUGUAUUACUUUGUUAUUGUUUACAGAUGUUAGGUGAGUGUCGAACGAUUUUGAAAAUUUUUUUGUGUGUAAAGAUUAGAUUUAGUUGUGUUAUUUUGAUAUCUCUAUCAUUAUAUUAUUUUGUUAUAAUUUAUAGAUGGGAGAUGAAUGUCGAUCGACUUCUAAAAAUAUUUUGGUAAAGAUUAGGUUUAAUAAAUAAAUUCUCCAUCUUUACAUACUUAAAAGAUAUUAGUUUUUUUCUUCCUUUUUUUUUUUGCUUUUUUUGUUUUCUCUUUUUUCUUUCUUUUUUCAAUUUUUUCUUUCUCGUUAUCUUUUUUCCAUUUUGUCUUUUUUUCUUCUUUUUAUUUUUCUUUUUUCUUUUUUUUUUGUUUUUGUACUGAUCAAUUGGAGAAAUAAUCCUAAAAUAGUAUAGAAAAAUACUUCUAAAACAGGAUUCCACUAAGUAAAUACUUCUAUAAAUAUUAAGAUUCACGUUAAACUAGAGAAAAAAUGAAUUUACUUAUUGGAAAAAUAUGAUAGAUGCUCAUCUAACUUGAUUCAGUUGCAUGUCUAGAUUCGUGGAUGCUUAAUUUUCUAGCCCUCAACUUCUUCACUAUUUUUGUCAACAUAAUAAAAUUCAACAUGUGUGUAUAUAUAUAUAUCUUCUUUGCUUUCAUUCAAGUCAUUCUUUAGUGUCAAAAUUUUUGCUCAGACAAGAAUUAUUUUCAUCAAAACUGAAAUUUUGUGAUCACUAUUGUAUUAUUCUGUUGUAGUUUACAGGUUGUAGAUGAAUUUACAGGUGGUAGAUGAAUAUUGGUCAGCUUUGAGAGGUUUAAUUGCAUUGUUUUUAUAUCUCUGUUUUGCAAAUUUUUUUGUGUAAAGAUAAAGUUUAGCUGUAUUAUUUUGAUAUCUCUAUUGUCAUAUUAUUUUGUUAUAGUUUAAAGGUGAUAGACGAGUGUCGGACGGCUUUGAAUUUUUUUGUGUGUAAAGGUUAGAUUUAAUUAUAUUGUUUUGAUGUCUCUACCAUCUUAUUGUUUUGUUGUUGUUUAUAGGUGGUAGAUGAAUGUCGAUCGGCUUUGAGAAAUUCUUUUGGUAAAGGCUAGGUUUAAUUAAAUCAAUUCUCCAAAAGAUGUUAAAUUUAAUUAUUGUAUUUAUCUUUAUUAUUUAAACAAAUUUGAACUCGAUAAAGUGAGGUACACUAAACUAGUUUUAUAAUACAUGGUAACCCACUUUUACUAAUAUUAUUUACAACAGUGGCUUUUAUGGCUUUGAUUAUUUUUUUGAGAUAAGCAUCCAGUAUUGCCUCGAACUAUGGUCAAAGUUGUUACGACACACUCCAACUUCACAGAGAUCCUAUUACCCCUGAACUCAAUUUUAGCAUAUUUUUGUCACUCUUUUAUGCUGAUGUAGCACGUUUAUUAUAUAAAAGCGGCUCCACGUCAAAGAUGCCACGUCGGCUAAAAAGAUUGACAAAAGAUGUUAUGGCAGCACAAAAGAGUGACAAAAAUAUGCUAUAACUGAGUUCAGGGGUAAUAGGAUCCCCUGAAUUUGGAGUGUGUCGUAGCAAAUUUGGUCAUAGUUUAGGAGUAGUAGAUGCUUUACUCUAUUUUUUGAAAAAACUUGGUUUGAAUUUAGAUGCAACCUAUUUAGAAGAAGAAAGAAGUAUACAAAGACUUAUGUUGUCAAAAAAUUUUCUUUGGAAGGUAACUUUUGUUCUUGUUUGAAAGAACUACAAUGCUUUAUUUAUAACUCUUAGCAAAUGGUCUAGCUCUGCCUCUGCAAGGGGGUGUAAUAUAGAAGACCUACCCUUAUGCAAGCCGAUUCUAUGGCCCCAUUCCAAUGACUUUUAGGUCACAAAGCGACACGUAUGUAAGCAGCCUACCCUAACACUGCUUCCAAUGCUCAAACCUGUGACCUAUAGAUCACAUGGAGAAUUGCAUAACUGCCACCAUCAACAACUAAUUCCACGACACAAACCUAUGACUGGCAUAUAUGUAAGCAACCUAUACGGAUGUGCAAGGAACAGUAUGACUUCGCAGCUCGAACUCGUGAGCUAUAAGUCACAUGUAAACUUUAUUGUCAGCCUAUCCUGCUGUUCAGGUACUAAUGAGUGAUUUGGAAGACUCGAGCUAACGAACAAUUGUCCUUGCUCCAAAGCCAGAGAAAAAUGAUUCUCCUAAUGUACAGAGUGUGAUGGUGCAGUAUACUUUCUUAAUUCUUACUAUUGAAAAGGGCAGCCCGUUGUGCUAAAGCUCCCGCUAUGCGCAGGGUUUGGGGAAGGGUCCCACCACAAGGGUGUAUUGUACGCAACUUUACCUUGCAUUUCUGGCAGAGGCUGUUUCCAAGGUUUGAUCUCGUAACCUCCUGGCCACAUGGCAACAACUUUAUCGGUUAAUCCAAGGCUCCCCUUCAAAAGCAGCGUCGACAAAAAUCGUUUGACUGGUGAAGGGGAAGAAUACCUUCAACUACUAGGGAUGGAUUUCAAAUAAAAAGAAAACAAUAAUAAUCAAGAGGAGUAUAGAACUAAUGUAUUCAUUUAUCCCAACUUCCCUCUUUGAGAGAACCAUAGAAAAGUACUCUUGAGCAGUUCCAUAGUCAUUUACAUUAGCAUUAGCAUUCCUUGAGUAUGAAGAAGAAUAUAUACGAGUGAAAACAAAGAAGAGACUCUCCAGGUCAAAAUUCCUAAAUGGUAUGUAGAACAAAAAGGAUUAGCGCUAUGUAUAUACUCGUAAAGCUUUACCAAUCGUUGCUUAUUCUGCUGCUGUCGAUGGUGCUUUGGCCAAACUGUUAGCAAUCAGUUCUUCUGAAGACGAAUCCUCAAACUUGGGGACAAAGCUCAUUGUGUAGUGGAACUCAAUUUGUAGGCGCUGAUGAAGGGGUGUCUAUGCCAUCAAUCCUUUCUUUACAUCAACUUGUAACUCCCUAAUAGGGAUUGCUGCCAAAAAACUCUUAAUGUACUCUUUACAUGCCUCUUUACCUAUAUAAAUGAUGUUCUUUUCAGAUACCUUGUCUUCCUGCAUACUGUCGUCGCUGUUGGUGCUCAUGAAAAUUUUGCUUUCAUCCGCAGCCUCUUUGACAUUGGUUUUCUCUUUUCUAUCGCAAGAUGGCUUAUCAUCUGAUUGUUGAGACUCACUAGGUGCUUGCAUAAUUGUUGUAUCAUGGUCGAAUUUGAUGAUAUAUGCCUGAUUACAACCCUCAAAAAGCAUCUCCCCAAGUGUGUCAAUGAUAUAGUACUCGUCUUUUUCAACCUUGAGGAUAAAGAAGUGGUCAUUCCAUCUCACAAUGUAAACACAAGAGAUGCCAUGACGAGGAGUUUCUUGAGCAGACUUAGAAAUCUCGUCCCAUAUGUUGUCAAAAGACAUGGAACCAUAAAGGAAGUGGAAUCCUUCCUCUUCUUCGAUUCCUUCGGGAUGAAAGAACCCAAUGAAUGAUUUUUCUAAGACGACUGAGAGUGGACGCACUUUAGCCUCAAGAACUGUCUCGAGGUCAAAAUGCUUAUCUGGGAAACGUUCCCUAUAGGUCUCAUUUUCACAAAGAUCCCUCCACUGCAUCGAGCCUUCACAGAUAAGAGAAUCAAGUUGGGAUUUGAUAGGCAUAUCUUCAGGAUUGCAGUGGAACGAAUCAGUUAUGACAGCAACCAAGUUUGUACAAGCGCUUUCACCAGUAGCUCGUUUACUUCGUUGAUCAAUCGAAGCAAAGAAGAUCGGAGUCUGCAGCUUUAUUUAUCCAUCACGGCUUAUUAUUUCUUUUUGCUCCCAACUACCCACAGCAAAACUUUCAUCUCAAAACUUAGAGACUGAAAUCGGAGAAGUUUCCUCAGAUUUGUGCCCCUGUAUGAACUACACACAUUAGUAAGAGGACUAGUUAUGACAUAUAUCUUCAAUCAUGAACAAGAAAACCUCAGCAGUUAGAUACUUGAUACAACUGUACAAGUAGACUAAGCUACUAAAGAAAGCUACCAAACUUUGUAUUCUUCAAUUCGGCAAGCACAUUGGUGUAUAAGUUAUUUCACGUUGAUCAGACCAUGACAAGAAGAUAAAAAAUGACUCGUCAAACAUGACAAAGAAAGCAAGAAAAAAAGAGACGUACCCUAGAAGAAGACUCGUUAGAUGAGCAAAGCUGUCGGCGAUCAAAUUCUAUAUCGUCUGCACCAUCCUCUCCAUAAUGUUUCUUCAACAAUGGCUCCCCCUUGAUUUUAGGAUAUUUGAAACUCAACUUUCUCUUCCUCCAGGCAAGAAGACUACGUUUUGAACUCUGCUCUGCAGAUUGAUUUGCUGCAGUUUUAUCCUCAAGGUACUUGUGCUUUGUGUCUGAAAUAUGAUGGCUGUAGUGGACUAAAUCCUCGUCACUGCUGCUGCUGCUUGUAUUUGAACAAAAUGAUCCACCAGCAUGGUUUGCAUAGACUGGUGCUUCAUAAUUGAAUGACUUCUGAACACUUGUAGCCUCAUUUUCUUUCUCAGAUUCUCGUACCGAAUCCAAAUCAAGUUAAUCGGUAUCCACAGGAUAAACAUAAUUGGGAUCCUCACUUCUGACUGAGUUCCUUCUAUCACUGCUGCUACCUUCCUCUGCAUGAUAUGCCUUCUUGUGUCACCUAAAGGAUAAUGCUUUUCAAAAUUUAACCUUUCGCAGACCUGCUUUUAAAGAACCACCCCCAUUUCUGUCUGUCAACAAAGCCUUUCCAGGGUUCGGAGAUACUGGAGCAGACAUGAUAAACUUCAGAAAUGUCUCUGAAGCUUCUUGAGCGUUCCUCAAUUCCACAAGGUUGAGCACUAGCUGUCAACAAAUAUAUGAACAUAUCUAUAGGAAACAGUCACAUUAGAUAAUAUAUUCAAGUAGCUGUAGGAAUACAAGAACGCAAGUAAAAAGCAUGUGUUUUAGUUUCUCUUACACAGACUGAAAGGCAAUUCUUGAAGCUGCCAACACAUACUUCCAAAGGAACGAAAAUUUCAAUGCACUCUUGUUUAUCUCCUGCUACUGAAGCAAAGUCUGCAAGAUUCAAUGUCACCGCAGAAAGUACGGGUACCUUCUGAUUUGGUCCUUUGCUUGUACCCUGAUUCAGCAGAAGUAUGAAUAAAUACAAAGAAUGGAGUAAAUGAACAAUGAAAUCGAACACAAAGACAACGUGUUCAAUGGAGAAAUUAGUGUUGAUGAAAAGCUAAAACCAAAACUAAAUGAUUAGAAGCACGAAAUAAUAGACCCAUGGAUUGGAAAACACAUGAUUAUCUUGAACGAUAGGUUCAAAGCAAUCAAAGGAACAUGCAGCUAAGGCCAAUGUUGUGCCUAUGGAAGAAGAACAAAUUGCUUCAGUCUCAAACAAGUUGAGAUAUAAGAAUUUACUAUUCCAUUUAAUCUCAGCACAUGUCAUCAUCAUACCAAAUAAAAAUACAAGCGAAAAUAAGUUAUAUAAAAAAAAUAAUUAAAACCUAUUUCCAACUAGUAGAUAUGGCCUAUAUGAGUCUUCAUACUACAUUGUGUAUGAUCUCGUGACCUCCUGGUCACAUGACAACAACUUUACCGGUUAAUCCAAGGCUCCCUUUCAAAAGGGGCAUCGAGAAAAUCGUUUGACUGGUGAAGGGGAAGAAUAAAUUCAACUACUAGGGAUGGUUUUCAAAUAAAAACAAAACAAUAAAAAUCAAGAGGAGUAUAGAACUAAUGUAUUCAUUUAUCUCAACUUCCCUCUUUGAGAGAACCAUAGAAAAGUACUUUUGAGUAGCUCCAUAGUCAUUUACAUUAGCAUUAGCAUUCCUCGAGUACGAAAAAGAAAAGACAAAGAAGAUACCGACGAUCUAGUUACACUCAUAUACGAAUGAAACAAAGAAGAGACUCUCCAUGUCAAAAUUCCUAAAUGGUAUGUAGAACAAAAAGGAUUAGCGCUAUGUAUAUACUCGUAAAGCUUUACCAAUCGUUGCUUAUUCUGCUGCUGCCGAUGGUGCUUUGGCCAAACUAUUAGCAAUCAGUUCUUCUGAAGACAACUCCUCAAACUUGGGGACAAAGCUCAUCUUGUAGUGGAACUCGAUUUGUAGGCACUGAUGAAGGGGUGUCAAUGCCAUCAAUCCUUUCUUUACAUCAUCUUGUAACUCCCUAAUAGGGAUUGCUGCCAAAAAACUCUUAAUGUACUCUUUACAUGCCUCUUUACCUAUAUAAAUGAUGUUCUUUUCAGGUACCCUAUUAAUUAAUAUUUUUCUUUCUACUGUUCAAGUAGAAAAAUACUCCUAAAAUAUGACUACUUUAUUAUUUAAUUAUUUUUUAUUAUAUUAACUAGAUUUCCUAAAAUAUAUGGUAGGAGAAUUAAUUAAUAUUUUCCUUUCUACUCGAUUUUCGUAGGAGAAUUAAUUAAUAAUUUUCUUUCUAUUGUUUGAUUAGAAAAAUACUCAUAAAAUAGGACUCUAUUAAGAAAAUACUCUAUAAAUAUUAAUUAUUUUAUUAUUUUACUUUAAUUUACAGAUGUUAGAUAAAUGUGGGUCGGCUUUGAAUUUUUUUUACAUAAAUGUUAGGUUAAUUGUAUUAUCGUAAUAUCUAUAUUAAUUUGUUAUUUAAUGAUAGUAUACAGUUUGUAAUACUCUAUAAAUAUUAAUUAUUUUAUUAUUUUACUUUAAUUUACAGAUGUUAGAUAAAUGUGGGUCGGCUUUGAAUUUUUUUUAAAAUAAAUGUUAGGUUUAAUUGUAUUAUCGUAAUAUCUAUAUUAAUUUGUUAUUUUGUGGUAGUUUACAGUUUGUAGAUGAAUCUCGAUCGGUUUUUAGAAAUUUUUAUGUGUAAAAUUUAAGUUUAAAUGUAUUAUUUUUAUAUCACUUUUAUCGUAUUAUUUUGUUGCAAUUUACAGGUGAUAGAUAAAUGUUGGUCCGCUUUGAGAAUUUUUUUAUGUAAAAGUUAGGUUUAGUUGUAUUAUUUUGAUAUCUCUAUUAUUGUAUUACUUUGUUAUUGUUUACAGAUGUUAGGUAAGUGUCGAACGAUUUUGAAAAUUUUUUUGUGUGUAAAGAAUAGAUUUAGUUGUGUUAUUUUGAUAUCUCUAUCAUUAUAUUAUUUUGUUAUAAUUUAUAGAUGGUAGAUGAAUGUCGAUCGGCUUUUAAAAAUAUUUUGGUAAAGAGUAGGUUUAAUAAAUAAAUUCUCCAUCUUUACAUACUUAAAAGAUAUUAGUUUUUUUCUUCAUUUUUUCUUUUGCUUUUUUUGUUUUCUCUUUUUUCUUUCUUUUUUCAAUUUUUUCUUUCUCGUUAUCUUUUUUCCAUUUUGUCUUUUUUUUUCUUUUUCUUUUUAUUUUUUCUCUUUUUUUUUGUUUUUGUACUAAUCAAUUAGAGAAAUACUCCUAAAAUAGUAUAGAAAAAUACUCCUAAAACAGGAUUCCACUAAGUAAAUACUUCUAUAAAUAUUAAGAUUCACGUUAAACUAGAGAAAAAACCAAUUUAAUUAUUGAAAAAAUAUGAUAGAUGCCCAUCUAACUUGAUUCAGUUGCAUGUCUAGAAUCGUGGAUGCUUAAUUUUCUAACUCUCAACUUCUUCACUAUUUUUGUCAACAUAAUAAAAUUCAACAUGUGUGUAUAUAUAUAUAUCUUCUUUGCUUUCAUUCAAGUCAUUCUUUAGUGUCAAAAUUUUUGCUCAGACAAGAAUUAUUUUCAUCAAAACUGAAGUUUUGUGAUCACUAUUGUAUUAUUUUAUUGUAGUUUACAGGUUGUAGAUGAAUUUACAGGUGGUAGAUGAAUGUUGGUCGGCUUUGAGAAUUUUUUUUGGGUGAGGGUUAGGUUUAAUUGCAUUGUUUUUAUAUCUCUGUUUUGCAAAAAUUUUUUGUGUAAAGGUAAAGUUUAGUUGUAUUAUUUUGAUAUCUCUAUUGUCAUAUUAUUUUGUUAUAGUUUACAAUUGAUAGACGAGUGUCAGAAGACUUUGAAUUUUUUUUUGUGUAAAGGUUAGAUUUAAUUAUAUUAUUUUGAUGUCUCUAUCAUCUUAUUGUUUUGUUGAUGUUUAUAGGUGGUAGAUGAAUGUCGAUCGGCUUUGAGAAAUUCUUUUGGUAAAGGCUAGGUUUAAUUAAAUCAAUUCUCCAAAAGAUGUUAAAUUUAAUUAUUGUAUUUAUCUUUAUUACUUAAACAAAUUUGAACUCGAUAAAGUGAGGUACACUAAACUAGUUUUAUAAUACAUGGUAACCCACUUUUACUAAUAUUAUUUACAACAGUGGCUUUUAUGGCUUUGAUUAUUUUUUUGAGAUAAGCAUCCAGUAUUUCCUCGAACUAUGGUCAAAGUUGUUACGACACACUCCAACUUCACAGAGAUCCUAUUUCCCCUGAACUCAAUUUUAGCAUAUUUUUGUCACUCUUUUAUGCUGAUGUAGCACGUUUAUUAUAUAAAAGCAGCUCCACGUCAAAGAUGCUAUGUCAGCUAAAAAGAUUGACAAAAGAUGUUAUGGUAGCACAAAAGAGUGACAAAAAUAUGCUAUAACUGAGUUCAAGGGUAAUAGGAUCCCCUGAAUUUGGAGUGUGUCGUAGCAAAUUUGGUCAUAGUUUAGGAGUAGUAGAUGCUUUACUCUAUUUUUUGAAAAAACUUGGUUUGAAUUUAGAUGCAGCCUAUUUAGAAGAAGAAAGAAGUAUACAAAGACUAUUGUUGUCAAAAAUUUUCUUUGAAGGUAACUUUUGUUCUUGUUUGAAAGUACUACAAUGCUUUAUUUAUAACUCUUAGCAAAUGGUCUAGCUCUGCCUCUGCAAGGGGGUGUAAUAUAGACGACCUACCCUUAUGCAAGCCGAUUCUAUGGCCCCAUUCCAAUGACUUUUAGGUCACAAAGCGACACGUAUGUAAGCAGCCUACCCUAACACUGCUUCCAAUGCUCAAACCUGUGACCUAUAGAUCACAUGGAGAAUUGCAUAACUGCCACCAUCAACAACUAAUUCCACGACACAAACCUAUGACUGGCAUAUAUGUAAGCAACCUAUACGGAUGUGCAAGUACCAGUAUGACUUCGCAGCUCGAACUCGUGAGCUAUAAGUCACAUGUAAACUUUAUUGUCAGCCUAUCCUGCUGUUCAGGUACUAAUGAGUGAUUUGGAAGACUCGAGCUAACGAACAAUUGUCCUUGCUCCAAAGCCAGAGAAAAAAGAUUCUCCUAAUGUACAGAGUGUGAUGGUGCAGUAUACUUUCUUAAUUCUUACUAUUGAAAAGGGCAGCCCGCUGUGCUAAAGCUCCCGCUAUGCGCAGGGUUUGGGGAAGGCCCCACCACAAGGGUGUAUUGUACGCAACCUUACCUUGCAUUUCUGGCAAAGGCUGUUUCCAAGGUUUGAUCUCGUGACCUCCUGGCCACAUGGCAACAACUUUAUCGGUUAAUCCAAGGCUCCCCUUCAAAAGCAGCGGCGACAAAAAUCGUUUGACUGGUGAAGGGGAAGAAUACCUUCAACUACUAGGGAUGGAUUUCAAAUAAAAAGAAAACAAUAAUAAUCAAGAGGAGUAUAGAACUAAUGUAUUCAUUUAUCCCAACUUCCCUCUUUGAGAGAACCAUAGAAAAGUACUCUUGAGUAGUUCCAUAGUCAUUUACAUUAGCAUUAGCAUUCCUUGAGUACGAAGAAGAAUAUAUACGAAUGAAAACAAAGAAGAGACUCUCCAGGUCAAAAUUCCUAAAUGGUAUGUAGAACAAAAAGGAUUAGCGCUAUGUAUAUACUCGUAAAGCUUUACCAAUUGUUCCUUAUUCUGCUGCUGUCGAUGGUGCUUUGGCCAAACUGUUAGCAAUCAGUUCUUCUGAAGACGAAUCCUCAAACUUGGGGACAAAGCUCAUUGUGUAGUGGAACUCAAUUUGUAGGCGCUGAUGAAGGGGUGUCGAUGCCAUCAAUCCUUUCUUUACAUCAACUUGUAACUCCCUAAUAGGGAUUACUACCAAAAAACUCUUAAUGUACUCUUUACAUGCCUCUUUACCUAUAUAAAUGAUGUUCUUUUCAGGUAGCCUGUCUUCCAGCAUACUGUCGUCGCUGUUGGUGCUCAUGAUAAUUUGCUUUCAUCCGCAACCUUUUUGACAUCGGUUUUCUCUUUUCUAUCGCAAGAUGGCUUAUCAUCUGAUUGUUGAGACUCACUAGGUGCUUGCAUAAUUGUUGUAUCUUGGUCAAAUUUGAGGAUAUAUGCCUGAUUACAACCCAAAAAAAACCUCUCCCCAAGUGUGUCAAUGAUAUAGUACGCGUCUUUUUCAACCUUGAGGAUAAAGAAGUGGUCAUUCCAACUCACAAUGUAAACACAGGAGAUGCCAUGACUAGGAGUUUCUUGAGCAGACUUGGAAAUCUCGUCCCAUAGGUUGUCAAAAGACAUGGAACCAUGAAGGAAGUGGAAUCCUUCCUCUUCUUCGAUUCCUUCGGGAUGAAAGAACCCAAUGAAUGAUUUUUCUAAGACUACUGAGAGUGGACGCACUUUAGCCUCGAGAACUGUCUCGAGGUCAAAAUGCUUAUCUAGGAAACGUUCCCUAUAG